Molecule: ribosomal RNA, 442 nt
Filed under: uncultured bacterium
Lineage: Bacteria
Description: partial 16S ribosomal RNA
Rfam family: Bacterial small subunit ribosomal RNA
Source: RNAcentral
CCUACGGGUGGCUGCAGUGGGGGAUAGUGCACAAUGGGGGAAACCCUGAUGCAGCGACGCCGCGUGGGCGAAGAAGUAUUUCGGUAUGUAAAGCCCUAUCAGCAGGGAAGAAGAAAUGACGGGACCGGAGUAAGAAGCACCGGCUAAAUACGGGCCAGCAGCCGCGGUAAUACGUAUGGUGCAAGCGUUAUCCGGAUUUACUGGGUGGAAAGGGAGCGCAGGCGGCACGGCCAGCCUGAUGUGAAAGCCCGCGGCCCACCCGCGGGACUGCCUUGGGAACUACCGGGCUGGAGGGCCGGAGAGGUCGGCGGACUUCCUAGUGUAGCGGUGAACUGCGUAGAUAUUAGGCGGAACCCCAGUGGCGAAGGCGGCCUACUGGACGGUGACUGACGCUGAGGCUCGAAAGCGUGGGGAGCAAACAGGAUUAGAUACCCCAGUAGUC